This 496-nucleotide long non-coding RNA is filed under the name Homo sapiens (human). RNAcentral describes it as "non-protein coding lnc-FOXB1-2:1". Lineage: Eukaryota; Metazoa; Chordata; Mammalia; Primates; Hominidae. The record is from RNAcentral.
CUGCAACAUUGGAGAUUACAUUUCCACGUGAUAUUUGGGUAAGGACACAGAUCCAAACCGUAUCAGGUGUUUGUAUUUCCUUUCAGAGUGAAGAUAUCCUCAAAUGUCUAGUGAUCCUUAACUGUCUGUUCACCUUUAAGACUACAGCACUAAAAAUCUGAUUGGAAGUUCUGAUAUAUGAGUUGGGUUGCCAACUCUGGGUCUUACCCCAGUCCUACAUUCACUGCCACUUCCAGAAAUAUCUGGUAUCACCAAUUCAUGAGCCCACUGGAGGUUUUGAGGUGCAAGUCUGGAUGAUGUAUUGGCUUUUCCUGCCAGAAUAGAAACUCCACAAAAACAGUGAUCUUGGUUUUGUUCAUUGAUGAAAUCCAAGGACUUAGAAGAGUGCCUGGCACAUGGUAGGUACUCCAUAAAUGUUUGCGGAAUGUUGAAUGAAUGGCUUAUUUGAGAACCAAAUGAAAUCUACAGCUUAAGGGAUUCCAUCCGUAAGGGGUCU